GGAAAAAAACAAGAAGACUGGCAACAGAUGUUAGCUCAGGUGCCAAGCUUUAAAAACAAAAUGAAGUAGGUUAGAGCAAAUCAGUAUUUGCUAAUUGGUUGCUCGAAGUUAACAAAUUGAAAUAAAUUUGUGACUGUUUAAAGAUUUGAAACAAUGACAACAACAUAAACUAAAAAUAAACACCCUAGCCUGCCAUCUGGAAUAAUCAGAAACUGAAGAUUCUUUGAUCUAAUAAAUGUGUGCCGCUGAACUCACUAUCAAGCAUUUGAGGCUUUGCUAUUAUCAUAUGUCAGGAAGAUUUAAAAAUCUCUAUAAAGCAUAUGAACAACUACAUAAUAAAUAUCACUUAUGUUGUAUUUUUUAUAUAUAAAGAAAAAAGCCUUUAAAACUGGGAAUUUGCAUGCACAAAAGAGAGAAAAUGAGCUGAUUCUAUCGUUUUUUUUUUUUCUUUUCCCCAUCCCUCCUCCCAGCCCCAUGUAAAGCCACAUUUAACAUGAAAGGAUAAAGGAUAAUAGUGACCUGAUAGUGGAGGCUGCUAAGCACCCACAUAAAUCCAGCUAAUAAUGAGACAAUGAAAACAGAAGUUCUUCCUGGGAGCUGAGUGUGGGGGUUGGGCAAGCAUGUCGGCCACAGAGAUUAGCUGGUCCAGUCUGAGUGAGGAGACCAAUCACUGACCACGGAUCUCCCAUCUCCAACAGCUGCCUGAAUGCUUAGGCGUGCUCUAGGAGAUAAAUGUAAGACUGACGAUCAUAGAUAACAAAUUCAGGAUGUUAUGACAGCCAGCUGAGAACACACACAUGGGUCUUAGGACUGCUCAGCCACAGGGCCCUGUCUCAGUGCCAGCCCCUGUUGUCCCUUCUUCCUUGUUGUGGAGGCUGUAGCCUUCUUUCUCGCCUUCCGGUGCUGCCAUCUCACACUGUUGUCUCAGGCUCUGAAGACAAACCCACGACAAGGGAUUUUCCUCUUCAGAAGUUUUGUUGUUAAUCACUACCAGGAACUAAAUUAGCAUGAAAAACCAUGACAGAAAAAAAGGAAGCUACAGUGUUCUUACGGUAGACUAGUUUCCGACUUAGCAAAUGACAAGUGGCAAGUAAUUUUAGGAUUUCUCCCCUCUACUUUUAUUUCUCAAAUGGAGUGGAAGGGUGGAGUUUUCCUGCUGCCCUGCCCUCUUACUCCACAUUUAGAUAUAAAUGAAACCUGAAGAUAAAAUCCUGGUGUAAGAGUAGGUAUCUCUUUGGUACAAGUGGUCAUUUACAUUUUUAAGAACUCCUGGAACUUUUCCUUGUUCGGGCAGAAUCCUCUUGCAAAAGGGAGACCAAUAUAAUCUCAGCUAGAAGCUUCAGCAGAUUUGCAGGAAGAUUGUGAGGAUGGAAGAGCAACAAGAUAGAAGACUGGGACCUUGAGGACUGCCGCUGCCCCACUUACUUCCAGCAUAAUAUGCGUGAAAGAGAAGAACUUGCAUCUGAUUGAAUUGUCUCUUGUUUUUAGGUUUCUGUGUUUCAUACUAAACGGAUCCUUGGAAUCCAUUAAGCACUUGGAAGUGGGUACUGUACCUAACAAGAACUAAAGUCGGGGUACUGGCCUAGAAGCUGGGCAGCAGGUGGUAUAGACUCCAAAUUGCAGCCUGAUGAUUUGAUGGCAAACAUUUCCCUGCUUUGGCUUGGAAAAGAGACCAUGUGCUGACCGAGGCUGUAACUUUAGGGCCAAUGACAGGAAAGAUGAAUGAUUUCUGUGUGUAUUGGCUCUUUCUUGACACUUUCAGCAAAGCCUUCCAGGCUUAAGACAGGCAGUAUAGAAACAGACAGAAGGGCCUACAGUUUUGCUACAAGAGGCCUGCAGUCCAAGUUGAUAAUUUGGGCCCUUGCAGGGAUGAGAAGAGCAACAGCUUCUGCACCCCAGCUCAACCAGGUGUAAGCAGUGGCUGAAAACCUACAGCUUUGGCAGGAGAUAAAACUAGUGCCUCAUUAUACAAAAGCAUCGACCAGCUGGCAGAGAGUAGAUUAAGGGUUGUUUCUUCGCACUCAAGCCUGUUGUAAACAACUUCGAGGUAGCUGCCAUUAAGAUGAGAGAGAAACGGAUGGGCAGAAUACCACAACCGAUAAGUAAAAGACAAGUCUUCAGGCUUAAAAACAAAAAACUCAAUGUCUCGACAGGCUCUUUGGCUGUGAUUACAAGGACAGAGAAUUGACAGAAAGUAAAUAAAAAUGCCUUCCUAUUUGAAAGAAUUAUAUUGCCUGCAAGGAAGAACUUCUGAAAUAGCAAAGCUAGAGGCCAGGAGGACUGGAUUAGUCUUCUGGGGCUGCCAUCAAAAAAUACCACUGACUGGGGGGCUUAAACAACAGAAAUGUAUUUUCUCACAGUUCAGGAAGCUAGAAGUCCAGGGUGAAGAUGUCAGCACAUUUGGCUUCUCCUGAGGUCUCUCUCCUUGCUGUGUAGACAGCCACCUUCUCACUGUGUCCUCAUGUGGCCUUUCCUCUCAUGACUCUUUCUCUUUUCUUUCAAGGACUACCAUCAUAUUGGAUUAGGGCACCACCAUUUUGACCUCAUUUAACCUUAAUUACUUCCUUAAAGGCCCUAUCUCCAAAUGUAGUCACAUUGGGGGUUGGGGCUUCAACAUGUGAAAGACAGUAUGUCAACAUAUGAAGGACAGUAAGUGAAAGAGUUCAUCAUAGAGGGCAGACCCAAGGGCUGCCUGGUAGGCUAAUCAAGGAACUCCAUUCCCAGGCCAGGCAGCCUUUGCGAUUCCUGCCCAGCAGAGUUCAAUAAUUUCUAUGGACCAGUGCCGACGGGGUUGUGUGAAAGUUUCCUGUUUUCUCCUUAGUCAACUGGAAUUUUAGUUAAAGUUAUCCUAGUCCUGUUUUACCAUUAUAUAUUGAGUAAGAGUGAAGGGAUAGGGCAAAUAACUUUUAGUUUGUGGGUUUCUGGACUGUGAGUGGCUACAUCUUGCCAUGAUGGGGAUGAAUGAAUUGGCACCCAGAGAUUCUGGGCUUUGAGUUUAAUGCAGUAACCAGAUGACACUUUGGAGUUAUGUCUCAAAGGGAGGGGGUCUAUAUGUGGAAAGAAAGAGCAUGUGUGGAUGAGUGGACUGUGGCAAGGACUGCUACUUGUCUCCUGCUUUGUUUCUUGAAAUAAAGACUACAUUUCCCAGCA
This is a non-coding RNA of Equus caballus (horse), 3150 nucleotides long. The record is from RefSeq and is a predicted model, not a curated record. Lineage: Eukaryota; Metazoa; Chordata; Mammalia; Perissodactyla; Equidae.